GCAUAUCAAUAAGCGGAGGAAAAGAAACCAACAGGGAUUGCCCUAGUAACGGCGAGUGAAGCGGCAACAGCUCAAAUUUGAAAUCUGGCGCAAGCCCGAGUUGUAAUUUGUAGAGGAUGCUUUCUGGGUAGCGACCGAUCUAAGUUCCUUGGAACAGGACGUCAUAGAGGGUGAGAAUCCCGUAUGUGACCGGCCCGCACCCUUUACGUAGCUCCUUCGACGAGUCGAGUUGUUUGGGAAUGCAGCUCUAAAUGGGAGGUAAAUUUCUUCUAAAGCUAAAUACCGGCCAGAGACCGAUAGCGCACAAGUAGAGUGAUCGAAAGAUGAAAAGUACUUUGGAAAGAGAGUUAAAAAGCACGUGAAAUUGUUGAAAGGGAAGCGCCUGCAACCAGACUUCGCGGCAGUGUUCCGCCGGUCUUCUGACCGGUUCAUUCUCUGUCGCGAGGCCAUCAUCGUCUGGGCCCGCCGGAUAAGACCUGAGGAAUGUGGCUCCCCCUCGGGGGAGUGUUAUAGCCUCUGGUGAUGCGGCGUGGCUCGGGCGAGGUCCGCGCUUCGGCAAGGAUGAUGGCGUAAUGGUUGUCGGCGGCCCGUCUUGAAACACGGACCAAGGAGUCUAACAUCUAUGCGAGUGUUCGGGUGUCAAACCCCUACGCGUAAUGAAAGUGAACGGAGGUGGGAACCGCAAGGUGCACCAUCGACCGAUCCUGAUGUCCUCGGAUGGAUUUGAGUAAGAGCAUAGCUGUUGGGACCCGAAAGAUGGUGAACUAUGCCUGAAUAGGGGUGAAGCCAGAGGAAACUCUGGUGGAGGCUCGCAGCGGUUCUGACGUGCAAAUCGAUCGUCAAAUUUGGGGUAUAGGGGGCGAAAGACUAAUCGAAACCAUCUAGUAGCUGGUUUCUGCGAG
Molecule: ribosomal RNA, 902 nt
Filed under: Cercospora campi-silii
Lineage: Eukaryota; Fungi; Ascomycota; Dothideomycetes; Mycosphaerellales; Mycosphaerellaceae
Description: LSU rRNA
Rfam family: Eukaryotic large subunit ribosomal RNA
Source: RNAcentral